CCUACGGGUGGCAGCAGUGAGGAAUAUUGGUCAAUGGGCGCAAGCCUGAACCAGCCAUGCCGCGUGAAGGAUGACUGCCCUAUGGGUUGUAAACUUCUUUUAUACGGGAGUAAAGUGAGGUACGUGUGUCUUUUUGUAUGUACUUUAUGAAUAAGGAUCGGCUAACUCCGUGCCAGCAGCCGCGGUAAUACGGAGGAUCCGAGCGUUAUCCGGAUUUAUUGGGUUUAAAGGGUGCGUAGGUGGGAGGUUAAGUCAGAUGUGAAAGUCUGCGGCUCAACCGUAAAAUUGCCAUUGAUACUGGCCGCCUGGAGGACAGUUGAGGUAGGCGGAAUGCAUGGUGUAGCGGUGAAAUGCUUAGAGAUCAUGAAGAACUCCGAUUGCGAAGGCAGCUUACUAAACUGCUACUGACGUUGAGGCACGAAAGCGUGGGUAGCAAACAGGAUUAGAUACCCCAGUAGUC
Molecule: ribosomal RNA, 460 nt
Filed under: uncultured bacterium
Lineage: Bacteria
Description: partial 16S ribosomal RNA
Rfam family: Bacterial small subunit ribosomal RNA
Source: RNAcentral